UGGACACAUCUGGGUGUUCACGGCGC
RNAcentral lists this non-coding RNA (26 nucleotides) under Rattus norvegicus (Norway rat). Lineage: Eukaryota; Metazoa; Chordata; Mammalia; Rodentia; Muridae. The record is from RNAcentral.